GACGAACGCUGGCGGCGUGCUUAACACAUGCAAGUCGAACGGAAAGGCCCCUUUGGUGGUACUCGAGUGGCGCACGGGUGCGUAACACGUGAGUAACCUGCCCUUGACUUCGGGAUAACUUCAGGAAACUGGGGCUAAUACCGGAUAGGAAUCCUUUCUUCAUGGUGGGGGUUGGAAAGCUUCGGCGGUUUUGGAUGGACUCUCGGCUUAUCAGCUUGUUGGUGGGGUAGUGGCUUACCAAGGCUUUGACGGGUAGCCGGCCUGAGAGGGCGACCGGCCACAUUGGGACUGAGGUAAGGCCCAGACUCCGAAGGGAGGCAGAAGGGGGGAAUAUUGAACAAUGGGCGGAGGCCUGAUGCAGCAACGCCGCGUGCGGGAUGACGGCCUUCGGGUUGUAAAACGAUUUCAGCAGGGGCGAAGCUUGUGGUGACGGUACCUGCAGAAGAAGCACCGGCUAACUACGUG
RNAcentral lists this ribosomal RNA (465 nucleotides) under uncultured bacterium. RNAcentral's name for it is "partial 16S ribosomal RNA". It matches the Rfam family "Bacterial small subunit ribosomal RNA", at positions 28 to 507 of the family's 1533-position model. The record is from RNAcentral.